GUUUCCUGAGUGAGAGCAUCCUGUGAGCUGGCUCCUGAGAGGGCAUUUGUGCUGAGGACUUGGGGGCUGCCCACCAGCUGAACAAGAGCUCAGAGAACAAUGAGAGCCUUUCGGUUUCCCAACAACACUCCUACCUGCACGUUGAUGUGAUCCUUGGGUGAAGAUCCCAUUAAUUUUCAGCGUCCAGAAACUGACUUUCGUGCCCAGCACAUAGUAAGGAAAGCAGCGAGGCUUGUGUUCCCUUCCCUGCAGGGGCUGCAACACUGGGCCCUGGGAUGUCAGGGCCUUCGAAGGUGCUACAAAAAACAGCCGGCCUGAGGAGGGGCCGUGCGUGCCCUUACUCUUCCGGGCUCAUCCGAGUUCUGUAGGCUUCUCCGUCCAGGAUUCUGCUGGUUACCGUCUCCCCAGAGCUGGCUCAGCUUUGAGGCCCAGCCCAGGGCCUGGAACUCUUGCUGAGAGGCCUGUUUCUAAGGAUGGAGUCAUCCCUGCUCGGGGUCCUGCAGGGUCUGCAGUGCGGCCACCAGGUGCCACUUUGUCUGAGAGCCCUAAGGAAGAUGAGGGAAGCGGAUGCUUGGGAAUGUAGCUGGCAAGACAGUGACCAAGCAAAGGAGAGGACAGGAGAGCAGGCAGAAGGCAAUCCAGCUCACCCACGGGAGGACCGAAAUCUCCGUUUUUAGCCAGCAUGCUCUGCCCUUGGGCUUUCUCUCGAGCAUCUUUGUUUCUUCUCCACAGCAAAGUUCUCACUUUUCUCUCACUUAGUUCAAUAGCUGUCCUCUUGCAGGGGUAGAGGUCUGGCUGGCCGCUAGCUCUGCAGAUGGUUCUUCAGUGUUUCCUCCUGAGAACUCGGUUCCAGCCUUCUUACUGUUUUCUCUUCUUCCCUUCUCACCCUUCUCCUUUUCUAACCUGCAGCCCCUGUACACCCAGCACUUUCUCCCUUUGGGUCUCUGAGGCUUCUCCACUCAUACCUCACCUGUGGCUCUUUCCUGUCCAUCCGGCGACAAGAAAUACGUCAAGCCACCUCAGUUCUCUGUUCUCUGGGCCUCAGUUUCCUUGUCUCUAGAAUGACAGAAGUAGCAGGUAGGUGUGGGUUGCCUGACAAUUGGAGAGCCCUUCACCCCAAGCCUGGAAGGGGCUACUUAUGAAUGUCCUGGUGCCUAAGCAGGUGUUUCAAGAAAAGACUGCCAAGUAUGUGCACUAGGACCCCAAAACUUUCCACCCCAGGCCAGCCCAGGGUGGAGGGGCAAUCCACUACUGGUACACAUUGCUGCAGGUCAAAAGACAGGGGGUGCAGCUCAGUGGUAGAGCACUUGUCUAGCAUGUGUAAAGCCAUGGGUUCAACCCCCAG
Molecule: long non-coding RNA, 1345 nt
Filed under: Heterocephalus glaber (naked mole-rat)
Lineage: Eukaryota; Metazoa; Chordata; Mammalia; Rodentia; Bathyergidae
Description: lncRNA (ENSHGLG00000049565.1)
Source: RNAcentral